AACUUACACAUGCAAGCAUCCUCAUCCCAGUGAGAAUGCCCUCCAGGUCAAUAAGACUAAGAGGAGCUGGUAUCAAGCACACACUCGUAGCUCACGACACCUUGCUUAACCACACCCCCACGGGAAACAGCAGUGAUAAAAAUUAAGCCAUAAACGAAAGUUUGACUAAGUUAUGUUAAUUAGGGUUGGUAAAUUUCGUGCCAGCCACCGCGGCCAUACGAUUAACCCAAGCUAACAGGAAUACGGCGUAAAACGUGUUUAAGCACCACACCAAAUAGAGUUAAAUUUUAAUUAAGCUGUAAAAAGCCAUAAUUACUGUAAAAAUAAAUAACGAAAGUGACUCUACAACAGCUGACACACCAUAGCUAAGACCCAAACUGGGAUUAGAUACCCCACUAUGCUUAGCCCUAAACACAGAUAAUUAUAUAAACAAAAUUAUUCGCCAGAGUACUACUAGCAAUAGCUUAAAACUCAAAGGACUUGGCGGUGCUUCAUAUCCCUCUAGAGGAGCCUGUUCUAUAAUCGAUAAACCCCGAUAAACCUCACCAAUUCUUGCUAAUACAGUCUAUAUACCGCCAUCUUCAGCAAACC
RNAcentral lists this ribosomal RNA (591 nucleotides) under Tragelaphus scriptus (bushbuck). RNAcentral's name for it is "partial 12S ribosomal RNA". It matches the Rfam family "Bacterial small subunit ribosomal RNA", at positions 46 to 1026 of the family's 1533-position model. The record is from RNAcentral. Lineage: Eukaryota; Metazoa; Chordata; Mammalia; Artiodactyla; Bovidae.